RNAcentral lists this ribosomal RNA (484 nucleotides) under uncultured organism. RNAcentral describes it as "bacterial SSU rRNA". It matches the Rfam family "Bacterial small subunit ribosomal RNA", at positions 28 to 507 of the family's 1533-position model. The record is from RNAcentral.
GAUGAACGCUAGCGGCAGGCUUAAUACAUGCAAGUCGAGGGGCAGCACGGGUAGCAAUACCUGGUGGCGACCGGCAAACGGGUGCGGAACACGUACGCAACCUUCCCAAAACUGGUGAAUAGCCCUCCGAAAGGAGGAUUAAUACACCGUAACAUAAUGAAGUGGCAUCACUUUAUUAUUAUAGCUCCGGCGGUUUUGGAUGGGCGUGCGCCUGAUUAGGUAGUUGGCGGGGUAACGGCCCACCAAGCCUGCGAUCAGUAACUGGUGUGAGAGCACGACCAGUCACACGGGCACUGAGACACGGGCCCGACUCCUACGGGAGGCAGCAGUAAGGAAUAUUGGUCAAUGGACGAAAGUCUGAACCAGCCAUGCCGCGUGAAGGAUGAAGGCCCUCUGGGUUGUAAACUUCUUUUAUAUGGGACGAAAAAAGGGAAUUCUUUCUCACUUGACGGUACCAUAGGAAUAAGCACCGGCUAACUCCGUG